AUGGCGUUGGGCGGCAAUGGCAGCUCGCUCCUUGGGCCGCCUCGCAGUCACGGAAUCACAGCGGACCACGAGCAGCACUCGUUGAAUCCACUGCGGGGCUUUGAGGACCAGGGACAGCGCCGCAGAAGGCAAGAGCAGCGCGGCCGGCGGUGGGCUUUCAGGACCGGGGACAGCGCGAAGAGAAGGCAAGACCAGGGACAGCGCGCAGAGAAGCAAUGCCUGAGCCAUCAGAGGGCUUUCAGGACCAGGGGCAGCACCCACACAGAAAGACAAGACCCGUGCCGUCAGUCCUGCUGUAGGGACCGUGGACAGCGCCCUCCAAAGAUCCGCACUGUCAGCUUGGCUUUCAGGACCUGGGGUCAGCGCCCACAGAAGACAAAAGCCGGCACUGUCAGCGUCGGGCCCCAUCAGCCUGGGAAGCGAGCCAGGCAGAGAGAAGUGCGCCUUCGCUGAGCGUGACAGCCCCACCACGGUGCGCGGUGAGCCCAGCCCUGACCGCUGACCCAGCCUGGUCCUUGGGGUCAGAGCACAGGAAGGAGAGUCCAGGCUGUCUCCGGAAAUGGGAACCUGCAGCCAACAGCGACGCGGAGCUUUCUCUCUUCAUCUACGGGCAGGUAGAGCUCGGGCUGCCUUCUUAAAGCAGCUUCUGAAGCAUAGGAGGCUGCGGGAGACCAGGGCUGGGAAACGGAUGUCAUGUCCCGCUCACCCGCUGCUCACUGCCCACAGGCACCGUGCCUCUUCCCCCAAGACCCGGCGCAGAGGGAAUGCCCUCCUGACUGCCAGAGGCGCCCAGGUGGCCCAUGCGGCUCUUGGAGAUCUGGGUCCUCAUCUCUUUCCCAAAAGGAUCACAGGUCUCCCUGGCGUCGGUCAGCCAAGCCGUGAGGUGUGUGGUGCACCCUAAGCCUGCUCUCAACCCUGGCAGCAGCAAUGAAGGUGGGGCUCCUCCAGCUAUGCCCAGGUUUGUGCUUUCCCGAGAAGGGCCUGGAGGAUCAGUGGAGGCCACAGACCCCUCGAUCACUGGGCGAGGAUACAGAUCCGCACCAGUAAGGGGCGGAGUGUGCAGGGCUAAGGAUGCAGCACCCUCCCGCCGUCAGUGUGUGACAAUCAGGGAGCGUGGGCAUCUGCGGACAUCACCAGAGCUGCCGUGUGCAGCACUCAUGAUUGAGAACUGGGUGACCCCCAAAGCCUCGUGCUCACGCAUGGCAAUUUUGGAGGGUGGUUGGGUUAUGGGAGCUCGUAGCUGACUCGCUGUUAAAAGCGGCAGUCUCUGGGGUGAGGCCUUGAAGUGUUUUUCUCCCUCCCCAGCUCCUGCCUUCACCUCCACUUCUGUCCACCGUGUCCUGAGUAACUCUCCUGCACCUGGCCCGUCUGCCACUCUGUCCUGCCUUGGGGCCUCUGGCUAGGCACUGAGCCGUGAGCCAAGGGAAACCACUCCUCCUUUAUGCUGUGGUAUCGGGUGUUUUGUCCCAGCUGUGAGGAGAGAGACGGCUGCGACAGGGCUUUGCUCUGCAGGGCUACUGACUGCAGCGAUUGACUCAGCCUCCAAGAAAAUGCCUCGGACCCACCCAGCCCUCAUGGCUGGUCUUUCUGGCGUGACCACUCCACCCUCAGGCCAGCAGACGUGCCCUAAGAACUGGUGUGGUCAACCACGACAAGGACAGGUCCACCAGGUGUGACACAGAUGGGCUCCAAGAGCCACGGGCAAGGCCAGUCCUUCCCUUUCACCUGUCCCACGAGGUCCUCUCAUUCCCUUGGGGAGUCCUUGCCACUGACCACAUCCAUGGUCGCACCGUGAGACCCGCGUAGAAAGCAGCAGAACCAGGAGCGGACUCAGCGUCCUGCUCUCUUGCUGUGACACAGGCGUCCCUGAAGGCCUGCUGGAGCUGCGGGAGGGGCGGUGGUUGCAGAGGCACUGCCCUGCCCGCCUGCUCCCCUCGAGCUCAGUCUCUGGAUGGAUGAUACAGCCGCGCGGAGCGUCUCUGUUGCCCAGAACAUGGUUGGCAGCUGAGCAUGAGGAAGAACGGUCACUGCACAGGUAAAAAACCUGGCCUGCUCCUCCUUGGCUGCUACCUCUGCUGCUCCAACCUCACCGCACCCAGAGCAGCUGUAGUGCCCUGCCCUAUUCCAGAGGACCUGCCCCAUGUGGCCGCCAUGAGCAGGGGACCCAGCACGACUCAGGCCAGCCUCACAGGCGGCGUGAUCACUGUCACCGUGGCCGCCAUCAGUUUGUGACUGCACAGUCCUAGCACACAGUGUGGCCAGGCACACCGUGACUUUGCAACACAGAGCCCAUCCUCAUUCUUUUUCAUGGAUGGGGAAGCUGGGGCAGAGGGCCAUAAUCCGAAGCACGGUCUUGGUGUGAGGGAGCAGAGGUGCUAAGGUGCAACCUAGCGUGUUCAGCAUUAAAGCUGGUGCUCCAGGCUUCUCUGCGGUCAUCAAGAAAAUGUGACUUAAAUGCGUAAGUGUUCAUGUUUCUUUCAGCAAAGCCCAGAAGGCAGGCAGGGCCGUCACAGUGCUGGGGCUGUAACCAAGGACCCAGGCUCUUAUUAUUCUGUUCAGUACAACUAUAACAAGAGCUUCCAUACUUCUUUGCCUCAUGGUCCAAGCUGGCUGCUGGAGGACAAGCCAUCACCCCUGCUUUACAGGUAAAACGAUAUGGUGUGCCCUGCUCUUCACAGAGUGGUGGUGAAAGCAUAGUAUUUCGUGCCAGCCAGGUCAGUCUUAGCUUUGUCACCUCCUAGCUAUGUGAAUCAAGUACACUAUGCCAUUUUGCUUUACUACACUUUAGUUUCUUUAUCUGCAAAAUAAUAAUCGUGACCAUGCCUACCAGGUGGGGCCGCUGUGAGUGCCUGGCACACAGUGCGUGCCCAGUAGAUGCGGGAGGAGGGUGAUCAUGUGCUGCUGCAGCUGGCAGUGAUGACCAGGACGGCGAUGAUGGUUUGGUGGCUGUGACGGUAGGGUACGAUGCUGACGGUAGGGUCGCAGGUGCUCUCCCAUUGCGGGGAUACAAUGCCUGACACAGUUUGAAGGAGGAGAGGUUUAAACCUGGCUCACGGUUUUGGCAUUUCAGUUCAGUGUGCUGGCUUAAGGUAGGAGGGCAGAGUGGGAGGGUCUGGGGGCGGAGAGCUGCUCACCGUGUGAACAGGAAGCAGAGAGGGAAGGGAGGGGCUGUCCCGGCCAUGUCCCACCCACCUCUUCCUCAAGCCACGCCCAGAUCCGCCCCUUCCCCCAGGCCACGCCCCAUCUCUUCCCCCAGGCUCCGCCUCCUGACCGGCAGUCCCGUAGGAACUCAUGUUGGAUCAACUCUCGCCUCGCGGGUUAGAACAGCGCUCCAGGACCCGGUCACCUUCCCACAGCGCCACCCGGGCAUACGAGGCUUUGGAGGCCGACUGUGGCUCUAACUGCUCACAGUGCCUGGGGUGAUAACGGAGAAGGUAUUUAAGCCCAGAGUCACCUCCUUCCGUGUCUUUGUGAUUAAUGAGAGACAGGAUAACUCGCUGCAUCUGUACGGUUUGAAGAAAAUAAACAAAUGUCCAUUUAUCAUUAUCUCAUUAUGAUCAGGUUAUCUAAUUGUCCUUGAAGACAGUGCUUGUUUAGGAAAUGAAUGGGAGCUCUCUUAGAUACCCUAACAGUUUCGUGCCUGCAAGGUGAGUCUCUGGCUUGGCGCAUAAGGUUUUUGGAAAUUUUUUUAUGCUAACAGCAUCUAUGCAGGUAGUGAAACAAUUUAACCUGUCAAUUUGAAAAGCGAGUGUGGAGGCAGGAAGAUGUCAGCUGUGAAAGCCAAACGUCACACAUCCGGGGCUCCAUGAGAACCUUUGGCGGGCAGCGCCUCAGGGCUUUUCCGGGGCACACGUGGGCACAGCAAGCCAGUCAGGAUGGCUUUCCCCCGU
This 3890-nucleotide long non-coding RNA is filed under the name Chinchilla lanigera (long-tailed chinchilla). RNAcentral's name for it is "lncRNA (ENSCLAG00000023508.1)". The record is from RNAcentral. Lineage: Eukaryota; Metazoa; Chordata; Mammalia; Rodentia; Chinchillidae.